Molecule: ribosomal RNA, 512 nt
Filed under: uncultured bacterium
Lineage: Bacteria
Description: partial 16S ribosomal RNA
Rfam family: Bacterial small subunit ribosomal RNA
Source: RNAcentral
GAUGAACGCUGGCGGCAUGCCUAAUACAUGCAAGUCGAACGAGAGGAAGGAAAGCUUGCUUUUCUGAAUCUAGUGGCGAACGGGUGAGUAACACGUAGGUAACCUGCCCAUGUGCCCGGGAUAACUUCUGGAAACGGAUGCUAAAACCGGAUAGAUAGCAGACAAGCAUUUGACUGCUAUUAAAGUGGCUAAGGCCAUGAACAUGGAUGGACCUGCGGUGCAUUAGCUAGUUGGUGAGGUAACGGCCCACCAAGGCGACGAUGCAUAGCCGGCCUGAGAGGGCGGACGGCCACAUUGGGACUGAGACACGGCCCAAACUCCUACGGGAGGCAGCAGUAGGGAAUUUUCGUCAAUGGGGGGAACCCUGAACGAGCAAUGCCGCGUGAGUGAGGAAGGUCUUCGGAUCGUAAAGCUCUGUUGUAAGAGAAAAACGACAUUCAUAGGGAAUGAUGAGUGAGUGAUGGUAUCCUACCAGAAAGUCACGGCUAACUACGUGCCAGCCGCCGCGGUAA